This 301-nucleotide ribosomal RNA is filed under the name uncultured bacterium. RNAcentral's name for it is "partial 16S ribosomal RNA". It matches the Rfam family "Bacterial small subunit ribosomal RNA", at positions 509 to 807 of the family's 1533-position model. The record is from RNAcentral.
CAGCAGCCACGGUAAUACAGAGGGUGCGAGCGUUAAUCGGAUUUACUGGGCGUAAAGCGUGCGUAGGCGGCUUCUUAAGUCGGAUUUGAAAUCCCUGAGCUUAACUUAGGAAUUGCAUUCGAUACUGGGAAGCUAGAGUAUGGGAGAGGAUGGUAGAAUUCCAGGUGUAGCGGUGAAAUGCGUAGAGAUCUGGAGGAAUACCGAUGGCGAAGGCAGCCAUCUGGCCUAAUACUGACGCUGAGGUACGAAAGCAUGGGGAGCAAACAGGAUUAGAUACCCCAGUAGUCCCUGUCUCUUAUAC